RNAcentral lists this ribosomal RNA (715 nucleotides) under uncultured Candidatus Saccharibacteria bacterium. RNAcentral describes it as "bacterial SSU rRNA". It matches the Rfam family "Bacterial small subunit ribosomal RNA", at positions 571 to 1296 of the family's 1533-position model. Lineage: Bacteria; Candidatus Saccharimonadota. The record is from RNAcentral.
GUAGGCGGUUUAAUAAGUGAAUAGUGAAACCUGGUGGCUCAACCAUACAGACUAUUAUUCAAACUGUUAAACUCGAGAAUGGUAGAGGUAACNUGGAAUUUCUAGUGUAGGAGUGAAAUCCGUAGAUAUUAGAAGGAACACCGAUGGCGUAGGCAGGUUACUGGGCCAUUUCUGACGCUAAGGCACGAAAGCGUGGGGAGCGAACCGGAUUAGAUACCCGGGUAGUCCACGCCGUAAACGAUGGAUACUAGCUGUUGGAGGUAUCGACCCCUUCAGUAGCGAAGCUAACGCGUUAAGUAUCCCGCCUGUGGAGUACGGCCGCAAGGCUAAAACAUAAAGGAAUUGACGGGGACCCGCACAAGCGGUGGAUUAUGUUCUUUAAUUCGAUGAUAACCGAAGAACCUUACCAGGGCUUGACAUCCAGGGAAGGUCUGCGAAAGUAGGCUGUGCCUUUUGGAACCCUGUGACAGGUGAUGCAUGGCCGUCGUCAGCUCGUGUCGUGAGAUGUUAGGUUAAGUCCUUCAACGAGCGCAACCCUUGUGAAUAGUUGUAUUUUUCUAUUCAGACUGCCCCGGUAACGGGGAGGAAGGAGGGGAUGAUGUCAGGUCAGUAUUUCCCUUACGUCCUGGGCUANGAAACGUAAUACAAUGGCUAGUACAAUGCGCAGCGAAGCCGCGAGGUGAAGCAAAUCGCAUCAAAGCUAGUCCCAGUUCGG